This 478-nucleotide ribosomal RNA is filed under the name uncultured anaerobic ammonium-oxidizing bacterium. RNAcentral describes it as "bacterial SSU rRNA". It matches the Rfam family "Bacterial small subunit ribosomal RNA", at positions 365 to 833 of the family's 1533-position model. The record is from RNAcentral.
UUCGCAAUGCCCGAAAGGGUGACGAAGCGACGCCGCGUGGGUGAGGAAGGCCUUCGGGUUGUAAAGCCCUGUCAGGAGUUAUGAAAUGUAAGUGCGCUAAUAUCGUGCUUAUUUGACAAAGGCUCCAAAGGAAGCCACGGCUAACUCUGUGCCAGCAGCCGCGGUAAUACAGAGGUGGCGAGCGUUGUUCGGAAUUAUUGGGCGUAAAGAGCACGUAGGUGGGUUUGCAAGUCAGAUGUGAAAGCCUUCUGUUCAACGGAAGAAUUGCAUCUGAAACUGCUAAUCUUGAGUAUAGGAGGGGAGAAUGGAACUUCUGGUGGAGCGGUGAAAUGCGUAGAUAUCAGAAGGAACGCCGGCGGCGAAAGCGAUUCUCUGGCCUAUUACUGACACUCAGUGUGCGAAAGCUAGGGGAGCAAACGGGAUUAGAUACCCCGGUAGUCCUAGCCGUAAACGAUGGGCACUAAGUAGAGGGGUUUUA